This 872-nucleotide long non-coding RNA is filed under the name Dasypus novemcinctus (nine-banded armadillo). RNAcentral describes it as "lncRNA (ENSDNOG00000050778.1)". Lineage: Eukaryota; Metazoa; Chordata; Mammalia; Cingulata; Dasypodidae. The record is from RNAcentral.
GAGAAGUGGACUUGUCUGCCAGAAGAGAAGCAUCCCUCCAAACAGGAAGUGUGCUCAGUCUCAGACGGACUAGAGAAAAAUGCAGAGAGGGUGCCUUCCUACUUUUUCCAUCCUGGGGAAAGUUUGAACCACAAAACCACAAAGAAUAAAAUAUUGCUGGUCAAUGGAAACAUUCACUUUUGGAAAUCAGGAAGUCAAUCUGCUGCUCCAGAAGUGUUGUCCGUGAACGCUGCCCCAGCUUUGGAGGUCCUUCAGGAGAGCUGGAUUUUCACAGACUUGCUAUGCUUACCUGAGUUUUCUAGGAAAGGAAUCGUUUCCAAGAAGGCCUAUAGCAGUGCAGCAAGCCCUGGAGCGAGGGAACGCAGCUGUGCCCUGGGAGCCGGGGGGCUCGAGCUGACGCUCCUGCCGUAACCUGGGCUCCGACCAAGGACCCAGUUGGCCUAAGGCCAUCAUCUGGACCAGUGACCAUUGUGUGGCACCCAGAGAGGAGGAUUACAUAUGACCAGCACCAGGUCACUGGAAGAAGGAGACAUGGAAGGAUAACUGGCAAUGGAAAGCUUUCUUCCCAGACAUCUGUGAACCUCAGACCUCAAAAACAACCUAUAUGGGAAUUCUCUCUAAGCUUGCUGAAAAUAAACCUUUUUUAAAGAAAAAAUCUGGAGGCAUUUGUGCCUUAAUGUGUGGAGAAAUGCAUUAAUUUUACAGAGAGAGGUGAAAUGGAGGACUCUAGAAAGACAGAGAGUCUCUUUUUACACCCUCUUUCCAUUCUUUAUUUUCUCUCUCUUUCUCUCCUUUUAUCAUUCACACAUUGAUGCAUAUAGAUUAAAUGUAAUUUUAUAUAAUACAUGCAGUAUAUUAUAAUAAUAUAAUAU